Non-coding RNA from Pelobates cultripes (western spadefoot toad), 228 nucleotides. The record is from the annotation of a GenBank genome assembly. Lineage: Eukaryota; Metazoa; Chordata; Amphibia; Anura; Pelobatidae.
CUUCAUGGCUUGUAAUUGUCCUGUUUUUAUACGUUUAAUUGUAAUCUAACAAUCUGUAAACGAAUGAUAUAUUGUAUAUUGUCUCUGUUCUAUGUAUUAUUUAUACUUUCCUUGGAUGUAUUUGUUAUACCUAUGUUUAAAAACUUAAUGAAGCUUAUGAAAAAAAAGUUAGAGAUAUGGUUAUUGUGUUGUGAUUGAUUAGAGUUAGUGUAGUGUAUUGGGUUAAAG